Molecule: long non-coding RNA, 1292 nt
Organism: Tympanuchus pallidicinctus (lesser prairie-chicken)
Lineage: Eukaryota; Metazoa; Chordata; Aves; Galliformes; Phasianidae
Exons: 3
Source: RefSeq, a predicted model, not a curated record
AAUCAGUCAGAUGACACAUACAGGCCUGCGCUGCCGCCCACAGAGACCCAGACGGCGCACCACCGGCAGCAGGGCUAUUUGUUAUUGCGCAGAGGGGUCACUUCCCGUCUGGGUCUCAUGGCUUCCGGUUGUAGAGGAUGCUAAGGUAGAGGAGGAAAGAAGAAGGAAUUCCAGUUGUGGAGAUGGGGAAUGGAGGAUAGCAGGACCACAAAAAUAGAAAACCUGAAGUCUGUUUCCAGUUUCCAUGGAAAGAAAUAGGAGACGUUACUUUUGGAGCAACCUAUGUAUAUGUGGUACAAGACAAUUUCUCUUCACCCAGUGUGGCCCAGGCAAGCCAAAAAGUUGGACACCCAUGGUCUAAAACCUUUGUGGAAGUAUGGAAGUGGCAGCUGGGAAACAGCAAACUAGUGAACCUUGCAAGGCUUGCAGAGCCUGCGUCUGCCCUGGAUGUUUGCUCUCAAGACUGUGCUCCAUGCUGCCUCUGUUGGUGUAACUUGACAUCCUCAUGGCAUCACAUCAGCUUCAGGCUCUUAGAGAGAUCAGAGUGGGAGAAGGAGAAAGCAUAGGUGAGAGGAAAGAAAGUGAGGAAGAAACGAAAGAGAAGAAGAGGUCCUGAAGGUCUGGUCUCAGACUGGACCCAGCAGUGCUGGAAAUCUGAUUUGCUCUCUCCAGUAUCAGCCAUAUUCCAAUUCACCUGGCCAGGGAAACACAAGCACCUGUGUUUGGUGAGUGCUUGUGUCUGGGCAGCUCUCUUGUGGGCAGGAAUGAGGAGAUUAGUUUCUCUCUUUUUCAGAGUGGGAGAAGGUCUAAUGGAAGCAGAGGGUUUCAAAGUCCAGCAGAUAGCACAGCUAACUCUUCUAUACUGCCUUCUACCUUCUUGUUUUUCUCAGUGAAGGCAUGUGAGAUUAUGGUAUUGGAAGAUGAAGAUCCAGGCAGAUCUGCUGAAACCUGAAGCCUAAGAGGACUUUGGUAUCAUGGGACUGGUGACAUACAUUCUUCCAUUCUCUUCGAAAUCAAGUUAAAUUUAUUGGAAAAUUUAUUAUGAGGGGAUCACUGUACAUGAAUGCCAUUGAUUACUGUCAGGUGUUGCAGCAUCUUUCCAGCUGGAGAGGGGCCAGAUUGAGGUCAUGGCAACUGUAAGAUCCUCCUCCACUGAUAAAAUCUACAUUUACCCUAUAUGCCCUUCUCCCACUGCUUAACAUGGCGCUAACUCCUGUGUAAGUACGCACUUGCUCCUAUUUUGAUUGUGCCUCCCUGUAUAAUGGAUAUCAAAAUAUACGGAUGUAAAAACA